Molecule: ribosomal RNA, 253 nt
Filed under: uncultured bacterium
Lineage: Bacteria
Description: partial 16S ribosomal RNA
Rfam family: Bacterial small subunit ribosomal RNA
Source: RNAcentral
UACAGAGGGGGCGAGCGUUGUUCGGAAUUACUGGGCGUAAAGGGCGCGUAGGCGGCCCGCUAAGUCGAACGUGAAAUCCCCAGGCUCAACCUGGGAACUGCGUCCGAUACUGGCAGGCUUGAAUCCGGGAGAGGGAUGUGGAAUUCCAGGUGUAGCGGUGAAAUGCGUAGAUAUCUGGAGGAACACCGGUGGCGAAGGCGGCUCACUGGACUGGUAUUGACGCUGAAGUGCGAAAGCGUGGGGAGCAAACAGG